CAGGUGCUGCUGGGGUGAUGGAUGGUCUGAUGUGGCUAGGUAACUGCUGAUGUCCGGUGGACUACAGACUACUGAAUCUGAAAGCAUGACAGCUCUCACUUCUGACUCCAGUAUCUUCAGACUUUUGUGUCUACGUGUUCUGUCCGGGGUGCACAAAGUGGCUGUACUGAGGAGUUGCUGAGGAUCCUCCAAUGCCAGUAUCAAUUAGAAGAUCUCAAAGAAUAAGAAAACCUGUUGAAAGACCGAACUUUAAGAGCCAGAAAGUAAUUCUAAAUACACAAUUCUACCACUCACAGCAGCCAAUUAACCUACCAAGACACAUAUCUUUGGGAUGUGGGAGGAAUCUGGAGCACCUGGAAGAAACCUACACAGUCACAGGGAGAACGUGCAAACUCCACACAGACUGCAUCGGAGGUCGGGAUUGAACCUGGGUCUCUGGAGCUGUGGAGCAGCAGCCCUAUUAUUUAUGUCAUUGUGCUGCCCAGGUACCGGCAUGGAUGAUAAUGUCAUAGCAGUUAAAACUCAGGUGACUGACACAUGGGCAAAUUUUUUGAAUUUUUAAGGUGCUGACCCAUUCGUGGAGCAAAUGUGACGGAGGUUGAGGACGUAAAAUUAUGAUGUAAAAUUAGAGCAAGAGCAAGAAGUACAGCAGGAAGAUCAAUGGACCUUGAAGCAGAUUGCUAGUUUUUAUCCAUUUCUAACAUACUUAGCAAGUAAGAACUUGCAUUUUAUUAGUUUAUCUCAUGACUCCAGGAUAUCCUAAAGUGCUUGACACUCAAUUAAAUAAACCUGAAGAGUAUAACACAUAGUAACAAACACUCCACAAUCAGCAGGGGUAUAACAGGCAGCCUGCUGUUAGUGACAAAGAUUGAAGGAAUGGCCCAGGCACUGCAAGAUCUUUUUUUAUAUAUAUUCAUUCAAGGGAUGUGGGCUUCACAGGCUGAGCCAGCAUUUAAUCCCCUGUCCCUAGUUGCUCUUGAAGAGGUGGCGGUGAGCUGCCUUCUUGAUCCACCCUUGAGGUGUGGGUGUACCCACACUGUUGUUAGGGAGGGGGUUCCAGGAUUUUGACCCAGCGACCGUGAAGGAAUGGCCACAAAUUUCCAAGUCAGGAUGGCGUGUGGCUUGGAGGGCAACUUCCAGGGGGUGAUGUUCCCCGUGCUUUUACUGCCCUUGUCCUUCUAGCUGGUAGAGGUGGUGGGUUUGGAAGGUGCCGUCUCAGAAGUCUUGGUGAGUUGCUGCAGUGCAUCCUGUAGGUGGUACAAACCAUGCUCUGGGGGUGGAGUGAGUGAAUGGUGGUGGAUGGGGUGCCUAUCAAACAGGCUGCUGUGUCCUGCAUGGUGUCAAGCUCCCUGAGUGUUGUUGAAGCUGACCUCACCCAGGCAAGUGGGGAGUGUUCCAUCACACAUCUGACUUUAGUUUUGUAGAUGGUGGACAGGCUUUGGGGUGUGAGGAGAGUUACUUGCUGCAAGGUUCCUAGCCUCUGACCUGCUCUUCUCUGGAACAAUCUCAUGCAGUCUUCCUGAGGGAACAGGAGACAAAAAUCAAGGGACAGGAGAAGAGCUGCUGGUGCAUUAGGGCAUCAUAUGUUGGUGUACGUUAUUCACUAUGUGACAACUCCCAUGUACACAACACAUGUUCCCAUCUCCACCCACCCAAAGCCAAGCAGUCUCCUGGAACAGGUUACA
Molecule: long non-coding RNA, 1685 nt
Organism: Pristis pectinata (smalltooth sawfish)
Lineage: Eukaryota; Metazoa; Chordata; Chondrichthyes; Rhinopristiformes; Pristidae
Exons: 5
Source: RefSeq, a predicted model, not a curated record